Molecule: ribosomal RNA, 425 nt
Filed under: uncultured bacterium
Lineage: Bacteria
Description: partial 16S ribosomal RNA
Rfam family: Bacterial small subunit ribosomal RNA
Source: RNAcentral
GUGGGGAAUCUUGCGCAAUGGGCGAAAGCCUGACGCAGCCAUGCCGCGUGAAUGAUGAAGGUCUUAGGAUUGUAAAAUUCUUUCACCGGGGACGAUAAUGACGGUACCCGGAGAAGAAGCCCCGGCUAACUUCGUGCCAGCAGCCGCGGUAAUACGAAGGGGGCUAGCGUUGCUCGGAAUUACUGGGCGUAAAGGGCGCGUAGGCGGACAGUUUAGUCAGAGGUGAAAGCCCAGGGCUCAACCUUGGAAUUGCCUUUGAUACUGGCUGUCUUGAGUUUGGGAGAGGUGAGUGGAACUCCGAGUGUAGAGGUGAAAUUCGUAGAUAUUCGGAAGAACACCAGUGGCGAAGGCGACUCACUGGCCCAAUACUGACGCUGAGGCGCGAAAGCGUGGGGAGCAAACAGGAUUAGAAACCCCUGUAGUCC